CUGAAAUCGAUCGUUUAUAAUAUAUCCUGCCUUA
This 34-nucleotide small RNA is filed under the name Bombyx mori (domestic silkworm). RNAcentral describes it as "ovarian small RNA-14802". The record is from RNAcentral. Lineage: Eukaryota; Metazoa; Arthropoda; Insecta; Lepidoptera; Bombycidae.